RNAcentral lists this ribosomal RNA (273 nucleotides) under uncultured Staphylococcus sp. RNAcentral describes it as "partial 16S ribosomal RNA". It matches the Rfam family "Bacterial small subunit ribosomal RNA", at positions 89 to 354 of the family's 1533-position model. Lineage: Bacteria; Bacillati; Bacillota; Bacilli; Caryophanales; Staphylococcaceae. The record is from RNAcentral.
ACGUUAGCGGCGGACGGGUGAGUAACACGUGGGUAACCUACCUAUAAGACUGGGAUAACUUCGGGAAACCGGAGCUAAUACCGGAUAAUAUUUCUAACCGCAUGGUUCGAUAGUGAAAGAUGGUUUUGCUAUCACUUAUAGAUGGACCUGCGCCGUAUUAGCUAGUUGGUAAGGUAACGGCUUACCAAGGCGACGAUACGUAGCCGACCUGAGAGGGUGAUCGGCCACACUGGAACUGAGACACGGUCCAGACUCCUACGGGAGGCAGCAGGC